UGUGACCACUGAUUUGUGAGUUUUUUCCCAAACCAUCAGUGAAUACUGUCAUUUCUUCCACUGGUUCCUGGCUUCUUUUUUGUUUUUUCCCUGAAACUCACUUUUACAUUCAACAUUUUGUGUGUUGGAAAACGAACUGUGCGAACUUCUGAAUGCCCUAACAACAUGAUUGAAAAAUCUUGCGACUUUGGAUUGUCCACUCAAAAUAUUUCUUCUUUAAAUGUAAAUGAAUGAUUAAGAAAUCUUUGCCUGACAUUGUCAGCAAUCUGGUCUCUGCCACAAUAAUGAUCUGAGCUCCCAUCUCUAAAUCUGUAAGAAUUGUUUUUGAGGGUCUGCAAACUAAAAAACCCCACUUUCAACUUCUGUGGAAACAUUAACAAAAUCCUUGCUCAAAGCUACUUAUUUGAACGAUUUUUUUUUUUUCUUUCAAUUUUAUCUGUCCAGUGUCUAGCACUCUCCUCAUAUUUUUCUGAAUGAUCAGCAAAAUCAAGUCUACAAAAUAAUUAUAUCAAGAGAUUAAAACAUACAAAAUCUUCAACCUCAUUUCAGCCUUAUUUCAGGCACUUCUUCACUCCUUUUCUUUUUUUUCUUUUUUCUCUCGUUCUCUUCUUCUCUUUUGAAACAAGAAAGUUGAAAUGUAAACCAUAAUAUAGAACAAGACAAAAUAUCUCAAUAAUAAAAUGCAUAAAACUUAUCAAAAUCGAUAACAAUUCAAGAAAAUUCAAAAGAAAGAUAUUCUAAAUAGCAUAUAUAAAAAUGAACAAAGCACGAUCACUAGAAACAUUGUGACAGCAGUUCAGAGUCUGCAAACAGCUGAAACAUUUGUUUUCAGUGAAAACCCUUGGUAUCCUUUCCCGGGCAAGGCUGGCAAGUUUCACCUCAAAGCUGUGUCAGCUGUAACAUUUGUAGAAUCAAAUUGAUGGGUCAAAAAUGACCUGCAUAUCAUUCAUUUUUGUGCAGAAACCUCUGAAUUUUGCUGGCAAACUCAUCUGUCCAAGUUAAAAUCAGGGUCUGGCCAGGACCCAAACUUUAAACUGGAGAGAUGUCCCUUAACAUAUUAUAUAAAACAAAACUUAUACCAACAAUACAUAUAUCAUACUUAAAACAUAACAACCUAUUAUAACAUUUUCUUAUAAAAUAAACACUUGAAGUUCAAACCGAUAAACUGGUCAAAUGACACAAAGAUUCAUUUUUCUUGAAACUCUUUUGAAGGAAAAGGAUGCCAAUUGAAGAAAUCGUAAGAUUAACAAUGGCAAGAGGUUGUCAGAAUGCUUCAGGCACCUCUCUCUGAGAUCUUCUGAAAAACAUUUGAGAAUGAUGAAAAAUAGAAAUGCAAUGAUUCCACUCACAAGAGAUAUAAAAACGAAUCAGGAAGUUCACCUAGA
This 1385-nucleotide long non-coding RNA is filed under the name Taeniopygia guttata (zebra finch). RNAcentral's name for it is "lncRNA (ENSTGUG00000027199.1)". The record is from RNAcentral. Lineage: Eukaryota; Metazoa; Chordata; Aves; Passeriformes; Estrildidae.